CCCUUAGAUGUUCUGGGCCGCACGCGCGCUACACUGACAGAGCCAGCGAGUUUUUUUCCUUGGCCGGAAGGUCUGGGUAAUCUUGUGAAACUCUGUCGUGCUGGGGAUAGAGCAUUGCAAUUAUUGCUCUUCAACGAGGAAUACCUAGUAAGCGUGAGUCAUCAGCUCGCGUUGAUUACGUCCCUGCCCUUUGUACACACCGCCCGUCGCUACUACCGAUUGAAUGGCUUAGUGAGGUCUUGGGAUUGGCUUCGAGGAACCGGCAACGGUACUUUGUUGCUGAGAACUUGAUCAAACUUGGUCAUUUAGAGGAAGUAAAAGUCGUAACA
This 329-nucleotide ribosomal RNA is filed under the name uncultured eukaryote. Its description in RNAcentral is "partial 18S ribosomal RNA". It matches the Rfam family "Eukaryotic small subunit ribosomal RNA", at positions 1470 to 1796 of the family's 1831-position model. The record is from RNAcentral.